CAGCGCCGCGGGAAUACGAAGGGGGCUAGCGUUGUUCGGAAUUACUGGGCGUAAAGCGCACGUAGGCGGAUAUUUAAGUCAGGGGUGAAAUCCCAGAGCUCAACUCUGGAACUGCCUUUGAUACUGGGUAUCUUGAGUAUGGAAGAGGUGAGUGGAAUUCCGAGUGUAGAGGUGAAAUUCGUAGAUAUUCGGAGGAACACCAGUGGCGAAGGCGGCUCACUGGUCCAUUACUGACGCUGAGGUGCGAAAGCGUGGGGAGCAAACAGGAUUAGAUACCCCGGUAGUCCCUGUCUCUUAUACA
This 301-nucleotide ribosomal RNA is filed under the name uncultured bacterium. RNAcentral's name for it is "partial 16S ribosomal RNA". It matches the Rfam family "Bacterial small subunit ribosomal RNA", at positions 509 to 808 of the family's 1533-position model. The record is from RNAcentral.